UACGGAGGAUGCGAGCGUUAUCCGGAUUUAUUGGGUUUAAAGGGUGCGUAGGCGGAAUAUCAAGUCAGCGGUAAAAGCCCGGGGCUCAACCCCGGCCCGCCGUUGAAACUGGCUGGCUUGAGUUGGGGAAAGGCAGGCGGAAUGCGCGGUGUAGCGGUGAAAUGCAUAGAUAUCACGCAGAACUCCGAUCGCGAAGGCAGCCUACCGGCGCGCAACUGACGCUCAUGCACGAAAGCGUGGGUAUCGAACAGG
RNAcentral lists this ribosomal RNA (252 nucleotides) under uncultured Bacteroidales bacterium. RNAcentral describes it as "partial 16S ribosomal RNA". It matches the Rfam family "Bacterial small subunit ribosomal RNA", at positions 524 to 776 of the family's 1533-position model. Lineage: Bacteria; Pseudomonadati; Bacteroidota; Bacteroidia; Bacteroidales. The record is from RNAcentral.